UUAAGUUCAGCGGGUAGUCCUACCUGAUUUGAGGUCAAACACUUCAUUGUCAUUCAUUGUAAGCGGACCGAGACCUUGGGCCGACGGCGCAACACGAUUAUAUCACGCCGAUGCCGCAGGGUCAAAGAUGACUCCGCUGCUGCAUUUAAAGAGGAGCCGACCCGAAGGCGGGGGGCCAGCACGCUCCAAACUCCAAGCUU
RNAcentral lists this unclassified non-coding RNA (200 nucleotides) under Byssocorticium sp. Its description in RNAcentral is "partial internal transcribed spacer 2". The record is from RNAcentral. Lineage: Eukaryota; Fungi; Basidiomycota; Agaricomycetes; Atheliales; Atheliaceae.